RNAcentral lists this ribosomal RNA (768 nucleotides) under uncultured bacterium. Its description in RNAcentral is "bacterial SSU rRNA". It matches the Rfam family "Bacterial small subunit ribosomal RNA", at positions 8 to 796 of the family's 1533-position model. The record is from RNAcentral.
AGAGUUUGAUCCUGGCUCAGAACGAACGCUGGCGGCAUGCCUAAUACAUGCAAGUCGAACGCUUCCGGGGCUUUGGUCUCGGGGGAGUGGCGCACGGGUGAGUAGCGCGUGGGAACCUGCCCUGUUGUGGGGGAUAACCGAGGGAAACUUCGGCUAAUACCGCAUACGCCGGUUGUCUUGAGAGAGAUGGCCGGGAAAGAUUUAUCGCAGCAGGAGGGGCCCGCGUCGGAUUAGCUAGUUGGUGGGGUAACGGCCCACCAAGGCGAUGAUCCGUAGCUGGUCUGAGAGGAUGAUCAGCCACACUGGGACUGAGACACGGCCCAGACUCCUACGGGAGGCAGCAGUAGGGAAUAUUGGACAAUGGGCGCAAGCCUGAUCCAGCAAUGCCGCGUGAGUGAUGAAGGCCUUCGGGUUGUAAAGCUCUUUCGCCCGCGACGAUGAUGACGGUAGCGGGAGAAGAAGCCCCGGCUAACUUCGUGCCAGCAGCCGCGGUAAUACGAAGGGGGCGAGCGUUGUUCGGAUUUACUGGGCGUAAAGGGCGCGUAGGCGGCGGGUCAAGUCGAGUGUGAAAGCCCCGGGCUCAACCUGGGAAUUGCGCUCGAGACUGGUCUGCUUGAGUUCGGGAGAGGAGCGUGGAAUUCCCAGUGUAGAGGUGAAAUUCGUAGAUAUUGGGAAGAACACCGGUGGCGAAGGCGGCGCUCUGGACCGAGACUGACGCUGAGGCGCGAAAGCGUGGGGAGCAAACAGGAUUAGAUACCCCCGUAGUCC